RNAcentral lists this ribosomal RNA (280 nucleotides) under uncultured Clostridium sp. Its description in RNAcentral is "partial 16S ribosomal RNA". It matches the Rfam family "Bacterial small subunit ribosomal RNA", at positions 505 to 787 of the family's 1533-position model. The record is from RNAcentral. Lineage: Bacteria; Bacillati; Bacillota; Clostridia; Eubacteriales; Clostridiaceae.
GUGCCAGCAGCUGCGGUAAUACGUAGGGGCUAGCGUUAUCCGGAUUUACUGGGCGUAAAGGGUGCGUAGGCGGUCUUUCAAGUCAGAAGUUAAAUUCUACGGCUCAACCGUAGCCAGCUUUUGAAACUGGAAGACUUGAGUGCAGGAGAGGAGAGUAGAAUUCCUAGUGUAGCGGUGAAAUGCGUAGAUAUUAGGAGGAAUACCAGUAGCGAAGGCGGCUCUCUGGACUGUAACUGACGCUGAGGCACGAAAGCGUGGGAGCGAACAGGAUUAGAUACCC